Molecule: long non-coding RNA, 4772 nt
Organism: Heterocephalus glaber (naked mole-rat)
Lineage: Eukaryota; Metazoa; Chordata; Mammalia; Rodentia; Bathyergidae
Source: Ensembl
CCUCUCUUCUCUCUCUGCCUCCCUGUCCAAUCAUGUGAGCCACUUACUCCUCCAGAUACUUCCACCAUGCUGAUUAUGCCUGGAGUAGGCUGACUGUGCAAGGACUGAAACUUCUGAAAUGAAUGAAGACUUUCUAUGGAAAUGAAUUGGAAAUCUGUUUGCAUCAAUCUUCUAAAAGGACUGAGUGAAAAAGAAUCCUGAGAGGGAAUAGAUUUUAGAAAGCAAAUACUCAGCAGAAGAUCACAUUAAAAUGGCAAUAACACCACUGGAUAAAUGAAACCUCCCCAACUCACCUCACCGUACUUCCCAAUCCACCAUCAGUAAAUGUGAUCAAUUUUACAGUCUAAGAAAAUUAAAAUUCUGUUUUACAGGGAUCCAACAACAAAAUGUAGUCUCUUGGUGGCAUCUCUUGGAUAUAGAGGCUCCCAUCUUGCUCAAAAUGUAAACCCAACUCACCACAGUCAUUUUCCACUAGAGCAAUGGGAGGGAGAUGAGGAGAGAUAAGAGGGAAGAAAGAUGGAGAGAGGGGAAACUUGUCAAUUUUUAGUUAAAAGUUCUCAUUUUCUAGCAAAAUGUAAGCUCUGUGAGUGAAUCUCUUCUGGAUUUACUUGGGUUUCCUGUUAAAAAUGGCUUCCAACUGUUACAUGAACCCCUGCCCACAGUGGAGAAUGAGGAAAAAUGAAAGCCUUUUACCUAAUCCUUUAUUUUCUCCAAAUGCUGGGAAAGGGGAAGGUUGGGGGUCAGUCAUUUUUCCCUUAGGAUAACUGAAGUGUUAACAUUUAACCAGAGAUUAGCUGUACCCAUAAAACUGACCUGGAUGUAACAACUGAAAAUGAAUUUUUUUUUUUUUUUUUGCAUUUUUCAGUAAAAAUGCCCCUUAUUCCUACACAGACUAUGAAAUCAUCCUCUUCAAACUAGACUCCAAAUCAGAACACUGUGAAAACCACUGCAUGGGCUUGGACUGUUGAACCCUGCCUCUUUUUCCACCCCCUUUCCUUUCUUACUAUGCUGAUUCGCUGUUCUUCCACUUCCUUUCCUCCCUGUCUGUGUCCUUGGCUUGCCUUCAUGAGACGCUGUCUUCUGUGAAGCCAUGAGAAAGUGCCACUUGGCCCAGUGUUAGGCAAGCUCUCUGCAGGGAGAACACCCCACAUGGCAGCUUUGCUUGGCUCAAAGAAGACUGGGUGCAAACCCUGGAGCUAUAGCUGGCCCCACCCUUACCUCAACUGUCCAGGGCGCUACAGGUAUGGUGGUGGAGAUCCAUUCAGCAUGAUGAGCUGUCUUCUAGUAUUUCCCUGUUCCUACUGCUCUUCCUCACAAGUCAGCCAGCCUCACCCUCUUUUGUGUGUGCCUGAGGAGCCUAGAAUAGGAAUCCCCUCCUCCUGAUCACUCCAGGGAUGUUGCUAAGCACUACCAUGGGAAUCUAGAAAUCUAAGCUCAACUGGGAAGAAGCAAUGAGAGGUGAACCAUCGACUAGUGAAAACGGUCCUGCUAGGAUAUGCUUGGAGAACUCCAUCCUGGGUCGUGGUGUGGGCUCACUUCAUUUCUCAGGGCCUCACCCAAGUGUCUGGAACCCACUGUUCUCCAUGAUGGCUUUGUUUGGUUUUGAAUAAUCUACAAAAGACCAGAAACAAAAGAAAGUAAACAAAGAAGAAGCAAAAAAAGGAAAAUUUGAUGUAUUACAGAUAAAUCUUACCAAAUUCCUCCCUCCUAUUUCCAUGGCCCAGAAAUAUAUUUCAAGGAAAACGUAAAAAUUUGUUGAGAAUUUUACUGAUAAAGUUGUUCAGGGUGGCAUUGUUUAUAAAAUUAAAAACUAGAAAAACCCUAAAUGUCUAAUGAUAAGAAUAUUUAUGAUAACAACAUAGUCAUUUAAUUGAUGUUGUAGAAAAAUGAUUUCGACUUGGAAAUUCAAGAUUUGUUACUGAGUGAAGAAGUCAUUUAUCAAACAAUAUACACAAUAUGAGCCCUUUUCUGUGAAAAAUACAUAUAUGGCAGCAGGAAAAACAUCAAAUGUUAACCAUGGUUUUAUCUUUGGAGAGAAGAUUACGGUUUCAUUUUUUUCUUCUUUUAUGUCUCUGCAUUCAUUAAUUUCUGCAAUUCACGCAGCACUUUUGAGAAGAGAAAAAUGAUUAGAAUUUUAAAAUCAUUAUGUUGGAUUCCCUAAUAACAAUUCCUUCUUGUAAAGCACUUUUCUGAAAUUUGGAGAUUGAGACCUCCCCUACAAAUACUUUGUGACAAGCAUGAAAGUUAGUGCUGCUGAGAGAAGAGCCUUAGGCCAACUUCUUUGCAAAUUAUUAGUGAAAUACUUUAUUAGGGAGUCCAAUAAUUUAUAUUAUUAUUGUAUCAAGCGAUGUUUAAUGAGUGUCGACUAUUUUCUCUGCCUGGUGAACAGUGCUAAACAGCAUUCAUCUUUGAUUCCUUCUUUGAUUGCAAGAGUGGUUAACUGUCAAUUGCUUUACAAGCAAUUUAAACAAGCCAGCGGAAUGCUUUCAUUUUUUAAAGAUGUAUUUGAUAAUGUAUCACUAGUAAAAAUUGAAAGUGGUUAAUGCCAAGAUCUACUCUUGGAUUUUUUUUUAAUUCACAUAGCCUUUUCUCAUUCUGCAGGGUUACAAAGUCUCAUGUUUCAGUAUUUUCAUAUUUAACAGCUCAAUGUAAAUAGUACCAGUUAAUAUCCAACAGAGGGGCUGGGGUGUAGCUCAGCGAUAGAGUGCUUGCCUGCCAUACAGGAAGCCCUGGGUUAGAUUCUUAGUUUAAAAAGAGAAAAAGAAAGAAAAUGUAUAAACUACUUGGGAAUAACAGUACCUGUAAUUACCUGUAUAGAAGUGGAGGGGGAAACAAUGCUUAAGACAAAGUUGUAAGAUAUUAAUCAGGGUGACUUGUUCAAAUGUCACCAAUUUUCUAUAGUUUAGAAAAGGAGGGCCAGGGAUUUAGCUCAGUGGUUCCACAGCCUGCCUCUCAAGCAGAAGGUCCCAAGUUCAAUCCCUGGUACCAAAAAGAAAAGAAAGAAAAGAAAAGGCUUCAAGAGAUCUUAGCUUCUCUAGGCCUCUGAUCUCAUCCACAUAAACCUUCUACCAUCUUUCUGUGUGUCUUAAUUCCUGAGAGCUGCCCAUGGGAAGUUGAGGGUAAAGCAUUCCUAAAUAACUAUUAAAACUAAAAGUCAACACUGUGCCCUCGCUUUCCUACAUGGGAUGGGAUCGCGUGCCAUUUCUAGCAGCUGUGGUCAAUUCUGAAUACAGUUUUCCCAUUGAACCUGUGAGGAAAAAUAAGCUGCACUGGGUUUGCUGCUCUUUGAAUGCCAUGGCUUUCCUUUCCUAAGUGGGAAAGAAAGUUCAUUAAGAAGGAAGCCAUAUGAAGCUUAACUUUCCAGCAAAUCCAUCACCCCUUAAGUACUCUCCAUGCUCCAUAGCUCCCAGGAAAACACCUUAGAUUCCUAAGUAUCAGAAAUAUUACAACUUCCUAUCCUUCCUCAAGUCAGUGUUCAGUUUGUCUUUACUAUAAUAUUUUGUUCUUUGGGUCUAAGAAUACGUAGGGGCCAGCCCCAUCAGGUCAAGUAGAGAGUGCUUUGGGGACUGGGAAAUGUCACCUCAUUGCAAAAUUAACCCAUCCAUACCAAAAAUGAUUUCUCAAGAAACAAAAAGCCAAAACAGAAUAAAACAAAAUGAUGCUUUUAAAUUCCAAAUCCACAUUUACUGUCACAAAAUAAAUGUGUUAAAUGCAUUAAUUUGAUUCUUUCAGGCUAUGAUAGUCUAGAUGAAGACAAAAAAAAUUAGUAUCAUACUUUUGAGUCUUGUCAAUUUGAAAACACAUGGAACUUUUAAAAUAGAAUGUUCUUGACAACAGGCACAAAGCAGCAUUUCUGUUUUUAUUGAGAUCCAUUGGAUGGUGAAAUCUGGAAUGUUCCUUAUUCAUGUAUUUAAUAUCUAUGUUUAUCACCAACCUGGGGUGAAGGAGGAAUUAUCAGGCAAAUUCUCAGUCAAGAUGGGGCCUUAGUGGAUUUUUUUUUUUGGUACUGGAAUCGAACUCAGGACCUUGCACUUGUGAGGCAGGCGGUGGAACCACUGAGCUAAAUCCCCAGCCCUCAGUGGAUUUUUUAAAGAGAGAAAUGCUGAGGCUUGGGGAUUCCUAGGGACCGGUUUCAUUUUUGUGUAGGUGGCCAGCUGAGGGAAGAGACUGGGCAGACAUAUGCAAAAGGAACAAUUCCCAUGCCGGUAUUUUAGAAGUAUGAGAACACAACAACACAUUUUGCCCAUGUGUUUGCCCUGAAGCACAGGGAAGGGAAGGUUCCUGGUCAAAUAAACCUAAUCCAGUUAGUCAUUCUGGUAGAAUCCUGAUUCCAGGGCUUGGUGUUAUUAAUAAAUGAGGCCACUGUAAAACAGGAAGCAGUUUACUGCACAGACAUUUCAAGGAGAGAAAUAAAAGUCCACAGUGUCUCUGGAUCCUCAACUUCAUCAUAGCCUCACUCUUUCCCUCCAUAAGGGUGAGAGGAACCUUCAAGAAAGUCUCCAGUCUUCCUUAGGCUUUCUGAAGAAAGUGAAUAAUCACAGCAGACAAGUGCAAAUACGAUGUGUUGCUCAAAGACCAAGUUGGCAGCUCACCCUUAUUCUAAACAGCCAGUAGCCACCCUGGAGAACAGCCUGCUUCAUUCAGGGGAGCUGAAGGCCCCAUGGGAGACGGGCACUUACCUCAGUCAGCACUGGUCUUCUCUCAGUCCCAGACCCCUCCUCUGGCUGGCAGGAAGGUGUGUAGGGGCGAGAGUCCUGCGUUUCUGUCGCUUU